Molecule: long non-coding RNA, 480 nt
Organism: Rattus norvegicus (Norway rat)
Lineage: Eukaryota; Metazoa; Chordata; Mammalia; Rodentia; Muridae
Source: RefSeq, a predicted model, not a curated record
GAGCACUUACGUUUAAAACUUUCCGUUCCGACAUCUUCGCUUCCUGUUCAACGAACAAGAGAAGAAAUUGUUCUCUUAGUCCUCGUGGAGUUUCUCGGAUCAGGAGCCUCAGUGUCGCCACUUCCUCAGCCGUCUUACUGGCUCCUGACCCUUGAGCCACAUAAACAAGGCCUUUUUGUCAUGAAGGCCUUGUUUAGGGGCCUGUGGAGAUGGUGAAGCCUUGGAGGAAUGAGGUCCUGAGGUGUGCUGUGUGCACACAAACACAGACGAGCCCCGAGUCACUCACUCCAUGGACGCGAUGGACAAAGCGAUAAAGAGGCACUCCUGUGCUGGAGCACAGGCUGUUCAAGCUGAGGACCCAGCAGCUACACUGCGUACCUUACUCCUCCUGCUUCAGAUGCUCUGGCGCCGUCUUCUGGCCUCAGUGGGCACUGCACAUACCCAUACUUAUAUUUGAAAAUAAAAUUAAAGUAUUUAAAA